Molecule: non-coding RNA, 793 nt
Organism: Ictidomys tridecemlineatus (thirteen-lined ground squirrel)
Lineage: Eukaryota; Metazoa; Chordata; Mammalia; Rodentia; Sciuridae
Source: RefSeq, a predicted model, not a curated record
GGGGCCCAAGGUGCAGCCAUGUCGUGACAAGCAGAGGCUUUGGGUGGCGGGUGCGGAGGGACAGCACCAGCACCAGCACCUGGCUGACUUCCCGAGGACAGGGCAUGUCCUGCACAUGGCCAUUUCUAGACAGGGGGCAGGGGUUGCUGCUCAAACAAGGAGGGGCGCCUGGUCUGGGCUCUGGGGACCCGGAUUCCCCAGGGCCUGCUGAGGUCCCAGACUUCCUGACAAGGUGCAGGGAGCAUGCCAAUGAGAGCCAGCAGGGCAACACUGGGUCCCUGGGUGUGGCCUUCAACAGCCCAGGUCCUUCAUUCCUGGGGAGAGCCCAUGCUGCAGGGGCAGGGAGACACCAUCUCUGAGCUCAGAUGGGCUAAGGGAGGAUGUGAACUUCAGACUGAGGCCAACACCUGGCCCCAAGCCCUGGGGGCUCUGGCACUGACCUGGUGUUGUUUGGGCAGCGGAAAGCCAGUGUGUCUUCCCGGCCAAGGAGAGGGUGAACUGCGGCUACCCUAACAUUGACCAGGAGGCCUGCACCAACCGCGGCUGCUGCUUUGACUCCAGCAUACGAGGGGUGCCCUGGUGCUUCGAGCCUAUGCAGAAGGAAGAAUGCACGUUCUGAAGCUCUGCUCUGUGGCCUGGGAUGGCACCUGCCUGUGGAUGGUGGCUGGCAGAGGGGGCUGCCCGUCACGGCUCCCCCUGCUCUGGGCAAGCGCGUCAGCUGAACACUCGUGUCCAGGGUCUGCUGUCUAACGAAUAAAGCUCUCAUGCUCAGCAUGGGGACCGUUCUUCCUGC